CGGCCAUGGUGAACGGGAAACACCCGGACUCAUUUCGAACCCGGAAGUUAAGCCGUUCACGUUCGGCUGGUAGUGGGACUCCGUGA
Molecule: ribosomal RNA, 86 nt
Filed under: Sulfodiicoccus acidiphilus
Lineage: Archaea; Thermoproteati; Thermoproteota; Thermoprotei; Sulfolobales; Sulfolobaceae
Source: RNAcentral